RNAcentral lists this ribosomal RNA (807 nucleotides) under uncultured Candidatus Zhuqueibacterota bacterium. RNAcentral describes it as "bacterial SSU rRNA". It matches the Rfam family "Bacterial small subunit ribosomal RNA", at positions 96 to 918 of the family's 1533-position model. The record is from RNAcentral. Lineage: Bacteria; Pseudomonadati.
UGGCGAACGGGUGCGUAACACGUGGGAAAUCUGCCCGAGGGUGGGAAUAAGCAAUCGAAAGGUUGUCUAAUACCGCAUAAUGCAGCGGCAUCGCAUGGUGCGUUGUUAAAGCAGUGAUGCGCCUUCGGAUGAUCCCGCGCCUGAUUAGCUUGUUGGCAGGUAACGGCCUACCAAGGCGACGAUCAGUAGCCGAUCUGAGAGGAUGACCGGCCACACUGGACUGAGAUACGGCCCAGACUCCUACGGGAGGCAGCAGUGAGGAGUAUUGCGCAAUGGACAAAGUCUGACGCAGCAACGCCGCGUGAAGGAUGAAUGGCUUCGGCUUGUAAACUUCUGUGCAGAGGACGAAUGACCCGAAGAGGGGCUUGACGGUACCCUGAAAGUAAGCACCGGCUACUCCGUGCCAGCAGCCGCGGUAAUACGGAGGGUGCAAGCGUUGUCCGGAUUUACUGGGUUAAAGGGCGUGUAGGCGGAUUUGUGUGUCAUAGGUGAAAGCGGGCGGCUCAACCGUCUCAGUGCCUAUGAAACUGCAAAUCUUGAGUAAAGCAGGGGAUGCUGGAAUUCCCGGUGUAGGGUGGAAUGCGUAGAUAUCGGGAGGAACACCAGUGGCGAAGGCGGGCAUCUGGGCUUUACUGACGCUGAGACGCGAAAGUGCGGGGAGCAAACAGGAUUAGAUACCCUGGUAGUCCGCCCGUAAACGAUGGGCACUAGUCGUCGGGGGUAGACCCCUCGGUGACGCAGUUAACACAAAAGUGCCCCACCUGGGGAGUACGCUCGCAAGGGUGAAACUCAAAUGAAUUGACGGGG